Molecule: ribosomal RNA, 495 nt
Filed under: uncultured bacterium
Lineage: Bacteria
Description: partial 16S ribosomal RNA
Rfam family: Bacterial small subunit ribosomal RNA
Source: RNAcentral
GACGAACGCUGGCGGCGUGCCUAAUACAUGCGAGUAGAACGCUGAAGGAGGAGCUUGCUUCUCUGGAUGAGUUGCGAACGGGUGAGUAACGCGUAGGUAACCUGCCUGGUAGCGGGGGAUAACUAUUGGAAACGAUAGCUAAUACCGCAUAAGAUUGACUAUUGCAUGAUAGUCAGUUAAAAGGUGCAAUUGCAUCACUACCAGAUGGACCUGCGUUGUAUUAGCUAGUUGGUGGGGUAACGGCUCACCAAGGCGACGAUACAUAGCCGACCUGAGAGGGUGAUCGGCCACACUGGGACUGAGACACGGCCCAGACUCCUACGGGAGGCAGCAGUAGGGAAUCUUCGGCAAUGGACGGAAGUCUGACCGAGCAACGCCGCGUGAGUGAAGAAGGUUUUCGGAUCGUAAAGCUCUGUUGUAAGAGAAGAACGAGUGUGAGAGUGGAAAGUUCACACUGUGACGGUAUCUUACCAGAAAGGGACGGCUAACUACGUG